ACACAAUUGAUGACAUCUUUGAGGGCUCUGAUGAUGAAGAAGAAAGCCAGGAUAUUGUGAAUCAAGUUCUUGAUGAAAUUGGAAUUGAAAUCUCUGGAAAGAUGGCCAAAGCUCCAUCAGCUGCUCGAAGUUUACCGUCUGCCUCUACUUCUAAGGCUACGAUCUCCGAUGAAGAGAUCGAACGGCAACUCAAAGCUUUAGGAGUAGAUUAGUCAAAAAAGUCAUAAUAUUUUUGCUUAUUUAUAAUUAUUUAGUAUAAACAAGGCACAGUGCAGAUUCCUUUUACAAAACAUACUUAUUUUGCAAAAAUGAAGACCAUAAGUGAACAGUUGUAUAUUACCCCAUGGCUAUUUUGAAUCCUUUGCCAAAGAAUGACAAUGAUGCAAAAAUGGAAACAGUUUGGAUUUUAAUUAGAACUAUUUAGGAGUGAUGAUAUGUAAAAAGUUGACUUCUGCAUGGCACAGAGAAAUUAUAUUCAUUAUUAGUGUCAGUUUAUGUUCUAAAUCUUUUCACACUGAAUACAAAAAUCUUGUUAAAUGCCACUAGGCACCAACUUAAAGAUACUUUUAAAAAUAUUAAAAGUAUAUUGUUAAUUAUG
Galeopterus variegatus (Sunda flying lemur) is the source of this 598-nucleotide long non-coding RNA. RefSeq lists it as uncharacterized. The transcript has 2 exons. Lineage: Eukaryota; Metazoa; Chordata; Mammalia; Dermoptera; Cynocephalidae. The record is from RefSeq and is a predicted model, not a curated record.